Molecule: ribosomal RNA, 285 nt
Filed under: uncultured bacterium
Lineage: Bacteria
Description: partial 16S ribosomal RNA
Rfam family: Bacterial small subunit ribosomal RNA
Source: RNAcentral
GUGGAUUAGAUACCCUGGUAGUCCACACCGUAAACGUUGGGCGCUAGGUGUGGGAUCCAUUCCACGGGUUCCGUGCCGCAGCUAACGCAUUAAGCGCCCCGCCUGGGGAGUACGGCCGCAAGGCUAAAACUCAAAGGAAUUGACGGGGGCCCGCACAAGCGGCGGAGCAUGCGGAUUAAUUCGAUGCAACGCGAAGAACCUUACCUGGGUUUGACAUACAUCCUGCCGCUCCAGAGAUGGGGUUUCUUUUGGGGGUGUACAGGUGGUGCACGGCUGUCGUCAGCU